CCAAUAGCGUAUAUUAAAGUUGUUGCAGUUAAAAAGCUCGUAGUUGAAUUUCGGGAUUGGCGCAUCGGUCGUGCCUCACGGGGUAUGAACUGGUGCAGUCAAUUUCUCACCUUCUGGAGAACCGCGAUGUCCUUAAUUGGGUGCCGCGGGGAACCAGGACCUUUACUUUGAAAAAAUUAGAGUGUUUAAAGCAGGCAUUUUUGCUUGAAUACAUUAGCAUGGAAUAAUAAAAUAGGACGGCAUGGUUCUAUUUUGUUGGUUUCUAGGACCACCGUAAUGAUUAAUAGGGAUAGUUGGGGGCAUUAGUAUUCAAUUGUCAGAGGUGAAAUUCUUGGAUUUAUUGAAGACUAACUACUGCGAAAGCAUUUGCCAAGGAUGUUUUCAUUAAUCAAGAACGAAAGUUAGGGGAUCGAAGACGAUCAGAUACCGUCGUAGUCUUAACCAUAAACUAUGCCGACUAGGAAUCAGACGAUGUUAAUUUUUUAAUGACUCGUUUGGCACCUUACG
RNAcentral lists this non-coding RNA (507 nucleotides) under uncultured Glomeromycotina. RNAcentral's name for it is "partial small subunit ribosomal RNA". It matches the Rfam family "Eukaryotic small subunit ribosomal RNA", at positions 591 to 1092 of the family's 1831-position model. The record is from RNAcentral. Lineage: Eukaryota; Fungi; Glomeromycota. RNAcentral also lists the same sequence under 1 other name.